Molecule: ribosomal RNA, 497 nt
Filed under: uncultured bacterium
Lineage: Bacteria
Description: partial 16S ribosomal RNA
Rfam family: Bacterial small subunit ribosomal RNA
Source: RNAcentral
GAUGAACGCUGGCGGCGUGCCUAAUACAUGCAAGUCGAGCGAACAGACGAGGAGCUUGCUCCUCUGACGUUAGCGGCGGACGGGUGAGUAACACGUGGAUAACCUACCUAUAAGACUGGGAUAACUUCGGGAAACCGGAGCUAAUACCGGAUAAUAUAUAGAACCGCAUGGUUCAAUAGUGAAAGACGGUUUUGCUGUCACUUAUAGAUGGAUCCGCGCCGCAUUAGCUAGUUGGUAAGGUAACGGCUUACCAAGGCAACGAUGCGUAGCCGACCUGAGAGGGUGAUCGGCCACACUGGAACUGAGACACGGUCCAGACUCCUACGGGAGGCAGCAGUAGGGAAUCUUCCGCAAAGGGCGAAAGCCUGACGGAGCAACGCCGCGUGAGUGAUGAAGGUCUUCGGAUCGUAAAACUCUGUUAUUAGGGAAGAACAAAUGUGUAAGUAACUAUGCACGUCUUGACGGUACCUAAUCAGAAAGCCACGGCUAACUACGUG